AGUGGGGCAUGCCCAGUUGAGACUCCAUUUGCCCUGAGCAGAUUUCCUGAGCCUCGGGCAACCAGCUUGCAAUGAAUGCUCCUCUUGUCCCUUGCUGCCUGUCUGCUGGGAAGUCCAAGAUCAAGACACUAGCAUUGGUGUCUGAUGAAGGCUGCUGUCUGCUUCCAAGAUGGUGUCUUGUUGCUGCUUCCUCCAGAGGGAUGCAUGUGUCCUCACAUGCAGGAAGAUAGAAUGGUUCCUUUAAUUAACUCAGACCUGGAUGACAUAAAAUGAAGUUUCUGAAGAAGUUCAGGUCAAAGGUUCCUGAAACACAAGGCUCAGUGUGUACCCUGGAUGGGAAAAUGAACUGGUGUUGACAUAUAUGCAUGCCCAGGAGGAAGACUGGGAAAGACUUAAUGAGUUGGAGUAUGCAGAGAA
Long non-coding RNA from Pongo pygmaeus (Bornean orangutan), 417 nucleotides. RefSeq lists it as uncharacterized. The transcript has 4 exons. NCBI's taxonomy places the organism in Eukaryota, Metazoa, Chordata, Mammalia, Primates, Hominidae. The record is from RefSeq and is a predicted model, not a curated record.